This is a long non-coding RNA of Platichthys flesus (European flounder), 727 nucleotides long. RefSeq lists it as uncharacterized. The transcript has 3 exons. The record is from RefSeq and is a predicted model, not a curated record. NCBI's taxonomy places the organism in Eukaryota, Metazoa, Chordata, Actinopteri, Pleuronectiformes, Pleuronectidae.
AUGACCAAUGAAUCCCAUUUUAACAGAGUUACCCUGAACGCAGCAUGAGACCGCUUUCGGUUUGUUACGUCUCACACUUGGAUGAAUUUCUCCUCAUUCACUUUGCUAAACCAUGUCAAACUGUGUCACAUGGGUCUCAAUAUAUUGAUAAUGUAGGCAUAACAUUGCUGUGAGUUUUCAUCAUGCGGAUUAUUCAUAGCUUUGCAGCAGACUUCUUCAACUCGCCAUGACAAACGAAGCUGCAUUUAACACAGCUGCAAGUGAACGCCUCAUGAGACUCUGAAAGAAGUUACGUCGUCACAAGCUGCGGAGCUGUGUAUCACGAAGAACCGGAGAACGGUUGGCGAGUCUGGAUGAGAGGACGGCGGCGGAGUCACUGUGGACGUUGUUCGCUCAGCAGGUUAGAGUGUGGGACUCAAAGGUUUUUGUCCCCUCUCCCGUUGUGUCUUUUCCUGUGUGAACUCUGCCGCUCUCAACAGCAGCACUGGCUAUGAGCUAGCUCCUGCUAGCUACAACGAAUCAUCUCUCAACUGCUACAAGGUCCAACUUGACACACAACUUGAAUCCAACCAGACUGAACACUGACUCCAGGGACAGACGAGCCUGAAGGACACAGCUGUGAUGACCAUGUUCUGUCUCUUAUGGCAAAGCAGAAAUAUAAAACACUGGGUUCUUAUCUAAAGUGUAUCAAAUCAGAUCUCCACCAUGUUGCUGCUGAGGACAUCAG